Molecule: ribosomal RNA, 2874 nt
Filed under: Helicobacter felis
Lineage: Bacteria; Pseudomonadati; Campylobacterota; Epsilonproteobacteria; Campylobacterales; Helicobacteraceae
Description: bacterial LSU rRNA
Rfam family: Bacterial large subunit ribosomal RNA
Source: RNAcentral
AGAGUAGAUGGUGGAUGCCUUGGGUAGUAGAGGCGAUGAAGGACGCACUAGACUGCGAUAAGCUACGGGGAGCUGUCAAGAAGCAUUGAUCCGUAGAUCUCCGAAUGGGGCAACCCAAUCCACAGCAAUGUGGAUUACUCUAUUUAUAGAGAGCGAACCUAGCGAAGUGAAACAUCUCAGUAGCUAGAGGAAAAGAAAUCAACGAGAUUCCCUCAGUAGUGGCGAGCGAAAGGGGAAAAGGGCAAACCGGGUGCUUGCACUCGGGGUUGAGGACGACAACAUUCAAGGGGUUUGUCUAGCAGAGUUGUUUGGAAAGACAAGCCAUAGAAGGUGAUAGCCCUGUAUGCGAAAGAUACACCCUAGAUAGUCGGAUCCAGAGUAGGCCAGGACACGUGAAAUCCGGGCUGAAGCCGGGGAGACCACUCUCCAACCCUAAAUACUACUACUACACCGAUAGCGCACAAGUACCGUGAGGGAAAGGUGAAAAGAACCGUGGGUAACGGAGUGAAAUAGAACCUGAAACCAUCUACUUACAAUCAUUCAGAGCCCUAUGAUUUAUCAGGGUGAUGGACUGCCUUUUGCAUAAUGAUCCUGCGAGUUGUGGUGUCUGGCAAGGUUAAGUGAAAACGAGCCGUAGCGAAAGCGAGUCUGAAUAGGGCGCUUUAAGUCAGACGCUGCAGACCCGAAGCCAAGUGAUCUAUCCAUGGCCAAGUUGAAACGAGUGUAACAGCUUGUGGAGGACUGAACCCGUGCCCAUUGAAACGGGCUGGGAUGAGCUGUGGAUAGGGGUGAAAGGCCAAACAAACUUGGUGAUAGCUGGUUCUCUUCGAAAUAUAUUUAGGUAUAGCCUCAAGUCAUAACAAGAGGGGGUAGAGCUCUGAUUGGGCUAGGGCUGCUCGCCGCAGUACCAAACCCUGUCAAACUGCGAAUACCUUUUGUUGUAUCUUGGGAGUCAGGCGGUGGGUGAUAAAAUCAAUCGUCAAGAGGGAAACAACCCAGACUACCAACUAAGGUCCCCAAGUUCUAUUCUGAGUGGAAAAAGAUGUGUGGUUACUCAAACAACCAGGAGGUUGGCUUAGAAGCAGCCAUCCUUUAAAGAAAGCGUAACAGCUCACUGGUCUAGUGAUCAUGCGCUGAAAAUAUAACGGGGCUAAGAUAGACACCGAAGUUGUAGAUUGCUCUUUUAGAGCAGUGGUAGAAGAGCGUUCUGUGCAGCACUGAAGGCAUACCGGUAAGGAGUGCUGGAGCGCACAGAAGUGAGCAUGCAGGAAUGAGUAGCGAUAAGAUACGUAAGAAUCGUAUCCGCCGUAAAUCUAAGGUUUCCUACGCGAUGUUCGUCAUCGUAGGGUUAGUCGGGUCCUAAGCCAAGUCCGAAAGGGGUAGGCGAUGGGAAAUAGGUUAAUAUUCCUAUACCAAUUAGGGUGUGCGAUGGGAGGACGCAUAAAGUUAGGUGAGCCAACGGAUGGAAGUGUUGGUCUAAGGGUGUAGAUUGGGAGAGAGGCAAAUCCGCUCCUGUAUUUGAAACCUGAAAGGCUCUUGGCGGUCUUCGGACCAAAGAGAGAAUCACUGAUACUAUCGUGCCAAGAAAAGUCUCUAAGUUUAGCCCUAAUUGUCCGUACCGCAAACCGACACAGGUAGAUGAGAUGAGUAUUCUAAGGCGCGUGGAAGAACUCUCUUUAAGGAACUCUGCAAACUAGCACCGUAAGUUCGCGAUAAGGUGUGCCACAGCAAUGUGGUCUCAGCAAAGAGUCCCUCCCGACUGUUUACCAAAAACACAGCACUUUGCCAACUCGUAAGAGGAAGUAUAAGGUGUGACGCCUGCCCGGUGCUCGAAGGUUAAGAGGAUGGGUUAGCCGCAAGGCGAAGCUUUGAAUUGAAGCCCGAGUAAACGGCGGCCGUAACUAUAACGGUCCUAAGGUAGCGAAAUUCCUUGUCGGUUAAAUACCGACCUGCAUGAAUGGCGUAACGAGAUGGGAGCUGUCUCAAAGAGAGAUCCAGUGAAAUUGUAGUGGAGGUGAAAAUUCCUCCUACCCGCAGCAAGACGGAAAGACCCCGUGGACCUUUACUAUAGCUUAGCACUGCUAAUGGGAAUGCCAUGCGCAGGAUAGGUGGGAGGCUUUGAAGUAAGGGCUUUGGCUCUUAUGGAGCCAUCCUUGAGAUACCACCCUUGGCGUUUUUGUUAGCUAACUGGCCUAAGUCAUCCUUAGGCAGGACAAUGCUUGGUGGGUAGUUUGACUGGGGCGGUCGCCUCCUAAAAAGUAACGGAGGCUUACAAAGGUUAGCUCAUGGCGGUUGGAAAUCGCCAGCUGAGUGUAAUGGCACAAGCUAGCUUAACUGCAAGAGAGACAACUCAAGCAGAGACGAAAGUCGGUCAUAGUGAUCCGGUGGUUCUCGUGUGGGAGAGCCAUCGCUCAAAGGAUAAAAGGUACCCCGGGGAUAACAGGCUGAUCUCCCCCAAGAGCUCACAUCGACGGGGAGGUUUGGCACCUCGAUGUCGGCUCAUCGCAUCCUGGGGCUGGAGCAGGUCCCAAGGGUAUGGCUGUUCGCCAUUUAAAGCGGUACGCGAGCUGGGUUCAGAACGUCGUGAGACAGUUCGGUCCCUAUCUGCUGUGGGCGUAGGAAAGCUGAGGAGAGCUGUCCCUAGUACGAGAGGACCGGGAUGGACAUGCCACUGGUGCACCAGUUGUUCUGCCAAGAGCACCGCUGGGUAGCUACGCAUGGUUGUGAUAAGAGCUGAAAGCAUCUAAGCUCGAAGCCAACUCCAAGAUGAGCUUUCCCUGAAGCUCGCAUGAAGACUACAUGUUUGAUAGGGUGGGUGUGUAAGUGCAGUAAUGCACUCAGCUAACCACUACUAAUAGAGCGUUUGGCUUGUUU